AGGGCAGGAUGCCAGAUAACGUCUGGUGGAGGCAACUCCCAGGAUAGUGCAACAGAGAGACACCGCGUAGGAAUGCUUGCAUUCCCUGUGCAUGCCACAAGCAUGCGGCGUAAGGGUGGAAAGGCAGUGUAAGAGACUACCGUGCUGGUGGUAACAUCAGUAGCCAUGUAAACCCCAUCCGAAGCAAGACCGAAAAGAGGACCAUGAGUCUGCCCGGCUCGUUCUCAGGUGGGUCGCUUGAGGCUGUUGGUGACAGCAGUCCUAGAUAGAUGAUCAUUCACGACAUAACCCGGCUUAUAGUUCUGCUCAUUAA
Molecule: RNase P RNA, 313 nt
Filed under: Butyrivibrio sp.
Lineage: Bacteria; Bacillati; Bacillota; Clostridia; Lachnospirales; Lachnospiraceae
Description: partial RNase P RNA component class A
Rfam family: Bacterial RNase P class A
About the family: Ribonuclease P (RNase P) is a ubiquitous endoribonuclease, found in archaea, bacteria and eukarya as well as chloroplasts and mitochondria. Its best characterised activity is the generation of mature 5'-ends of tRNAs by cleaving the 5'-leader elements of precursor-tRNAs. Cellular RNase Ps are ribonucleoproteins.
Source: RNAcentral